RNAcentral lists this unclassified non-coding RNA (1270 nucleotides) under Hevea brasiliensis (rubber tree). Lineage: Eukaryota; Viridiplantae; Streptophyta; Magnoliopsida; Malpighiales; Euphorbiaceae. The record is from RNAcentral.
UAUACUCUUGCUCUUAUUUUGCUCACAAGAACGUGUUUAUCUGGUUCUAGUGCAGAAGGUGAUGGGUUACAUAACUUUUGUCAUAGGCCAUAAGCACUGACCCUUCACUUUUCUUGGUUAAGUUAUAUGCUUAGAAACCAAGAUCAAUCAAUGAAUGCAAACAUUUUAGGAAGUUUAUUCGUCUUUGCAUACUACAUUGGGUGCGUGCAGUUUAGCACUCACAUGGGCCCAAGGGUCUUUACUUAUUUAAAGCAUCUUUAUCUAAUAGAUAAUGCAUUGUGCUCUGCAUUUUUAGCUAUCAGCUGCAAGAGGAUACUCUUGACUUUUAGUUGUUAUUUUUAUUAGUCCAGAUAUAUUAAAAUGAAUCCCGUGUAGCAAACUAUAUUCAAGGAGUCAAAGUUUUAUUUCAUGGUCGCUUUACGAGUUGGAAGCCAAUUGUAACUUUUUUGAUAUCCAUUAUCACAAAAUAUUUAGCAAAUGAUGAUAUAUUCAUAUCAACCAGUUAAGUGCCGAUUAUGUAAUGAAAAAAUGUGUCUUUGUUGUAGGUGAUUUCCUUGUUAUGUUAGAAAAAAGCAUCAAGCGUUAUGAUUCAUGUCAAAUGCAAUGACCCCACUGCAAGGUUUUUACUUUUUAGGAAAUAUUUUCUGCUGAUUUUUAAAUAUGGUUUGUUCAUAUGUUUUUAUGGCUUUAUUUUGUUUCAGGGAAAUUAACUUUUAUGUAGAAAGUGAUGCAAAAAAUAUUUUUGUUGCUUGGUUGUAUCUCUAACAAUCAAGUGAGUGUUACUUUUUAAUGUUUGGUAACAGUAGAGAAAAGAAUUUUCAUUUAAUGACAAAGGCCGUGAGAAUAUUUUGAGUUUAAACCUAUGAGAACUGCAUUUUCUUCUAUUGUGAAUGUGAAUAGAAGUAAACUUAUUGAAAGAAAUGGUUAAUUGUGGUGGUUGGUGGAGAUUGAUGAUGGCCAAUGAUAGUUGAUUUUGUUUAGUGGGCUAGAACCAUAUGUUGAUGUAGUCCUUUUACAAAAUUUUUCCCUUUUAUGACCUCAUAGAAGUUUCAUGGAAAGUCUGUUUCCUUGAAAAUGGCGUAUUUUUCCCUUGAUGAUGAAAGUAUUUUCUAUUGACCAAUUUUUCUGUGCAUGCAUAACACUGGGAAAUGUGUAAAAUAUAUUUUGUGAAACAAAGUCUAUUUGCCAUUAUUGUUAGAGCUGCUAUUAAGAAAAACACAUUCCUAAAUAAGUUAGUUAGAGGGUCUUAAAAAUUAGUUUAAAGUUAAAU